Molecule: ribosomal RNA, 497 nt
Filed under: uncultured bacterium
Lineage: Bacteria
Description: partial 16S ribosomal RNA
Rfam family: Bacterial small subunit ribosomal RNA
Source: RNAcentral
GAUGAACGCUGGCGGCGUGCCUAAUACAUGCAAGUCGAGCGAACGGACGAGAAGCUUGCUUUUCUGAUGUUAGCGGCGGACGGGUGAGUAACACGUGGAUAACCUACCUAUAAGACUGGGAUAACUUCGGGAAACCGGAGCUAAUACCGGAUAAUAUUUUGAACCGCAUGGUUCAAAAGUGAAAGACGGUCUUGCUGUCACUUAUAGAUGGAUCCGCGCUGCAUUAGCUAGUUGGUAAGGUAACGGCUUACCAAGGCAACGAUGCAUAGCCGACCUGAGAGGGUGAUCGGCCAAACUGGAACUGAGACACGGUACAGACUCCUACGGGAGGCAGCAGUAGGGAAUCUUCCGCAAUGGGCGAAAGCCUGACGGAGCAACGCCGCGUGAGUGAUGAAGGUCUUCGGAUCGUAAAACUCUGUUAUUAGGGAAGAACAUAUGUGUAAGUAACUGUGCACAUCUUGACGGUACCUAAUCAGAAAGCCACGGCUAACUACGUG